Molecule: ribosomal RNA, 1277 nt
Filed under: Salmonella enterica subsp. enterica serovar Richmond
Lineage: Bacteria; Pseudomonadati; Pseudomonadota; Gammaproteobacteria; Enterobacterales; Enterobacteriaceae
Description: partial 23S ribosomal RNA
Rfam family: Bacterial large subunit ribosomal RNA
Source: RNAcentral
UGUUUCGGCUAGGGGGCCAUCCCGGCUUACCAACCCGAUGCAAACUGCGAAUACCGGAGAAUGUUAUCACGGGAGACACACGGCGGGUGCUAACGUCCGUCGUGAAGAGGGAAACAACCCAGACCGCCAGCUAAGGUCCCAAAGUCAUGGUUAAGUGGGAAACGAUGUGGGAAGGCCCAGACAGCCAGGAUGUUGGCUUAGAAGCAGCCAUCAUUUAAAGAAAGCGUAAUAGCUCACUGGUCGAGUCGGCCUGCGCGGAAGAUGUAACGGGGCUAAACCAUGCACCGAAGCUGCGGCAGCGACACUGUGUGUUGUUGGGUAGGGGAGCGUUCUGUAAGCCUGUGAAGGUGUGUCGUGAGGCAUGCUGGAGGUAUCAGAAGUGCGAAUGCUGACAUAAGUAACGAUAAAGCGGGUGAAAAGCCCGCUCGCCGGAAGACCAAGGGUUCCUGUCCAACGUUAAUCGGGGCAGGGUGAGUCGACCCCUAAGGCGAGGCCGAAAGGCGUAGUCGAUGGGAAACGGGUUAAUAUUCCCGUACUUGGUGUUACUGCGAAGGGGGGACGGAGAAGGCUAUGUUGGCCGGGCGACGGUUGUCCCGGUUUAAGCGUGUAGGUGUGUGUUCCAGGUAAAUCCGGUCCACUUUAACACUGAGGCGUGAUGACGAGGCACUACGGUGCUGAAGCAACAAAUGCCCUGCUUCCAGGAAAAGCCUCUAAGCAUCAGGUAACAUCAAAUCGUACCCCAAACCGACACAGGUGGUCAGGUAGAGAAUACCAAGGCGCUUGAGAGAACUCGGGUGAAGGAACUAGGCAAAAUGGUGCCGUAACUUCGGGAGAAGGCACGCUGACACGUAGGUGAAGUGAUUUACUCACGGAGCUGAAGUCAGUCGAAGAUACCAGCUGGCUGCAACUGUUUAUUAAAAACACAGCACUGUGCAAACACGAAAGUGGACGUAUACGGUGUGACGCCUGCCCGGUGCCGGAAGGUUAAUUGAUGGGGUCAGCGCAAGCGAAGCUCCUGAUCGAAGCCCCGGUAAACGGCGGCCGUAACUAUAACGGUCCUAAGGUAGCGAAAUUCCUUGUCGGGUAAGUUCCGACCUGCACGAAUGGCGUAAUGAUGGCCAGGCUGUCUCCACCCGAGACUCAGUGAAAUUGAACUCGCUGUGAAGAUGCAGUGUACCCGCGGCAAGACGGAAAGACCCCGUGAACCUUUACUAUAGCUUGACACUGAACAUUGAGCCUUGAUGUGUAGGAUAGGUGGGAGGCUUUGAAGCGUGGAC